Molecule: microRNA, 21 nt
Filed under: Homo sapiens (human)
Lineage: Eukaryota; Metazoa; Chordata; Mammalia; Primates; Hominidae
Description: hsa-miR-8083
Source: miRBase by way of RNAcentral
CAGGACUUGACGGCUGCAACU